GCAGCAUAUACACUUUAAAAAAAAAAAAUGGAAUGAUUCAAAGAAAAUCUGCAUGGCCCCUGCACAAGUAUGACAUGCAAAUUUGAGAAAAUAGUUUGACAGUA
Mastomys coucha (southern multimammate mouse) is the source of this 104-nucleotide small nuclear RNA. Lineage: Eukaryota; Metazoa; Chordata; Mammalia; Rodentia; Muridae. The record is from RefSeq and is a predicted model, not a curated record.